RNAcentral lists this ribosomal RNA (447 nucleotides) under uncultured bacterium. RNAcentral's name for it is "partial 16S ribosomal RNA". It matches the Rfam family "Bacterial small subunit ribosomal RNA", at positions 29 to 523 of the family's 1533-position model. The record is from RNAcentral.
AACGAACGCUGGCGGCAGGCUUAACACAUGCAAGUCGAACGCUCCGCAAGGAGAGUGGCAGACGGGUGAGUAACGCGUGGGAACGUACCUUUCAGUUCGGAAUAACUCAGGGAAACUUGUGCUAAUACCGGAUACGCCCGUAAGGGGAAAGAUUUAUCGCUGAAAGAUCGGCCCGCGUUGGAUUAGCUAGUUGGUGGGGUAAUGGCCUACCAAGGCGACGAUCCAUAGCUGGUCUGAGAGGAUGAUCAGCCACACUGGGACUGAGACACGGCCCAGACUCCUACGGGAGGCAGCAGUGGGGAAUAUUGGACAAUGGGCGAAAGCCUGAUCCAGCCAUGCCGCGUGAGUGAUGAAGGCCCUAGGGUUGUAAAGCUCUUUCACCGAUGAAGAUAAUGACGGUAGUCGGAGAAGAAGCCCCGGCUAACUUCGUGCCAGCCGCCGCAGUAA